Molecule: transfer RNA, 76 nt
Filed under: Ignavibacteriota bacterium
Lineage: Bacteria; Pseudomonadati; Ignavibacteriota
Also listed under: 4 other names
Description: tRNA-Thr
Rfam family: tRNA
About the family: Transfer RNA (tRNA) molecules are approximately 80 nucleotides in length.
Source: RNAcentral
GCCGUUGUAGCUCAGUUGGUAGAGCGCGUCCUUGGUAAGGACGAGGUCACCGGUUCAAGCCCGGUCAACGGCUCCA